GGAGUCUGGACCGUGUCUCAGUUCCAAUGUGGGGGACCUUCCUCUCAGAACCCCUACCCAUCGUCGCCUCGGUGGGCCGUUACCCCGCCUACUACCUAAUCAGACGCAUCCCCAUCCCAUAGCGAUGAAUCUUUGGUAUUACUCAGAUGUCCUCAUAAUACAACAUAGGGCAUUAAUCCGACUUUCGCCGGGCUAUUCCCUACUAUGGGGAAGGUUGGAUACGCGUUACUCACCCGUGCGCCGGUCGCCAUCAAAGUUUGCAAGCAAACUUCAUGCUGCCCCUCGACUUGCAUGUGUUAAGCCUGUAGCUAGCGCUCAUC
This 320-nucleotide ribosomal RNA is filed under the name uncultured Prevotella sp. RNAcentral's name for it is "partial 16S ribosomal RNA". Lineage: Bacteria; Pseudomonadati; Bacteroidota; Bacteroidia; Bacteroidales; Prevotellaceae. The record is from RNAcentral.